Heterocephalus glaber (naked mole-rat) is the source of this 88-nucleotide non-coding RNA. The record is from Rfam. Lineage: Eukaryota; Metazoa; Chordata; Mammalia; Rodentia; Bathyergidae.
CUGGCCUCCAGGGCCUUGUACAUAGUAGGCUUUCAUUCACUCGUUUUCACAUACGGUGAGGGUCUACUGUGUGCCAGGCCCUGUCCAG